CGGGGGGACGCUUACCACUUUGUGGUUCAUGACUGGGGUGAAGUCGUAACAAGGUAGCGCUAGGGGAACCUGGCGCUGGAUCACCUCCUUAUACGAUGAU
This 100-nucleotide ribosomal RNA is filed under the name Vibrio alginolyticus. Its description in RNAcentral is "partial 16S ribosomal RNA". It matches the Rfam family "Bacterial small subunit ribosomal RNA", at positions 1443 to 1533 of the family's 1533-position model. The record is from RNAcentral. Lineage: Bacteria; Pseudomonadati; Pseudomonadota; Gammaproteobacteria; Vibrionales; Vibrionaceae.